AUUAUUUUUAUUGAUAAAGACU
Molecule: microRNA, 22 nt
Filed under: Brugia malayi
Lineage: Eukaryota; Metazoa; Nematoda; Chromadorea; Rhabditida; Onchocercidae
Description: bma-miR-9518
Source: miRBase by way of RNAcentral